RNAcentral lists this ribosomal RNA (254 nucleotides) under uncultured bacterium. RNAcentral describes it as "partial 16S ribosomal RNA". It matches the Rfam family "Bacterial small subunit ribosomal RNA", at positions 524 to 776 of the family's 1533-position model. The record is from RNAcentral.
UACGGGGGGAGCAAGCGUUGUUCGGAUUUACUGGGCGUAAAGGGCGCGUAGGCGGUCGUGACAAGUCACUUGUGAAAUCUCCGGGCUUAACUCGGAACGGUCAAGUGAUACUGUCGGACUAGAGUACAGAAGGGGCAACUGGAAUUCUCGGUGUAGCGGUGAAAUGCGCAGAUAUCAGGAGGAACACCGGUGGCGAAGGCGGGUCUCUGGGCCGAUACUGACGCUGAGGAGCGAAAGCAUGGGUAGCGAACAGG